GUUCAGAACACCACACUCCGGACCCGCUGGAAGAGAGCGUUCUGGGGACAGCAGCAGGCGAAGCCCACGCAGCCUGCGCACGGAGGUGAUUCUCCAGGGGACAGCUACAUGAGACAUUGUGAUCACCGGCUCUCGUCCUGCUGAGGCACUUCAACCACACUGAUAUCUGCUGGAAAAGUAGCACAGUGAGCUGGUGAUCCAGGAGACUCCUGGAAUAUAUCAAGGAUAAUUUCCUGAGCCAGGCUUUGACUGGAUGGUUCAGAAUGUGGAAACUGGAAGAGAGAUGCCACUCCUGCUAUAAGUGAAGAUCAGAUUCAUGACCUCCUGAGGAACAUGAACACCCAUAAGUCUAUGAGCCCUGAGGAGAUGCAUCCCGGAGUCCUGAAGGAAUUGGCAGACAUAGUUGCCAAGCCACUCUUGAUGAUCUUUGAAAAGUCAUGGUGGUCAGAUGAAGUCUCUGGUGACGAUGACAAAAGGCAAUAUCACACCCAUAUUUAAGAAGGGUAGAAAGGAUGACCUGGGGAACUAUGAACCUAUUAGCUUCACAUCUGUGCUGAGGAAGAUAAUGGAACAGAUCCUUCUGGUAGCUACGCUAAGGCAUCUGGAAGAGCAGGAGGUGAUAUGGGGCAACCAGCAUGGCUUCACCAAGGGGAGGUUCUGCCUGACCAACUUCAUUGCUUUUUAUGACGGUGUAAGUGUGUCUGUGGACAAGGGAAGAGCCACUGAUGUCAUUUAUUUGGACUUCAGUAAGACCUUUGCCACAGCUUCCCGUAACAUCCUUUUCUCCAAAUUGGAAAGACAUGGAUUUGAUGGGUGAACUCUUUGAUGGACAAGAAUCUGGUUUUGAGAUUAAGAGAUGAGGCUCCUAGGACCAGCUACAUGCACUCUGUCUGGGGCAGCUUCACAAGCUAUUGUGAAACUGCUUUUCUAUGUGUUUUCUCAUUUCCAAACCAAGAAACAAGGUAAAAGCAUUGAAUAUGAUCUUGGACAAGAAAGGUUCUCUGUAGCACUGCACUGGUGAAAAUUGAUAGCAAUGGAGCUGUGUCAUCACUGGGAUUACUUUUGCCCUGAACAGUCCUUCGCAAAUGAAAAAUAAAGCAAAGAAAUGUUCUUAUUUUUUAUCUCUGCUUCUGCAUAAAUGUAGUUUACAUACCACUAUACUGCAUUUAUUAAUGUAUGAAAUUUGUUAAUUUUGUAAGUGUCCAUGGGCUUUCAGUUGCUUUAAUGACAAUUGUUAUCCAUAAUUGCAUUUCAAUCAUUCUAUUGCAUGUACAUGCUUCUUACAAUAAUACUAAUAUACUCUUCUGUACACUUACUGUAAUACACGUACUAAUCAACACUGUAUCAACUGUAUCAACAAUUCUGUAUAUACAUCUUUAAUCAGAUCACUGUCAUGUACUUCCUGACAAGUGCUAGUUUUAAGCUUAGUAACCAGUGGCUUUCAUGACUCAGAAUGGAGCAUAAUGCAGUAUUACCUGAUUUUCUUUGUGACAGAGAUUUCAGUCUGUAUGUUUUAGAGGAUCUAGGGCACUGUAGGUAACACAGAACAAGAUCAUUAGCAAGUACUAUUGUAUUAGAAACUUUUUAGUGACAGCAUUUCUUUCUUCAUAGAUAUUUGUUCUUGCUUACAGAAAUUACACAGAGCGGAAAUGAUCUCACCUUACUUGAUAACACAGAUAUCCAGAUCUAAGCUCGUCAUUCCCUAGGGUGUACAUGCCUCUGUCCAUAGUGAAAAACAGACAUUUUAGAGCUCUUUGAAUAUGACCUAUUUUAGAUGCUUACACUAGAAUGGAAUGAAUCAUGCCUUAGAAUGCUUUUUUUUCCCCGUAGAAAACAGAGGGAGACCAGAGUGAUUAGUCCUGAUCCAGUUCUUUGCACUGCAGUGAUGUACAUCUGGUCAAUUCUUACUACUGAACAAAAAAAUGCUGGUUAUAUAAUUAUGAGGGAAAAGUAAAGAAGCAGCUGAACCUGUGAAUCUUCAAGAUUAAAAAAAAAAAAAAAGCCAUUGCUUUUCUUCACAAAAAUAACAAACUGGACUAUGAUUCUAAGAGUACUUAAUUAUUUUUAGUUAAGUUAGAUGAAAGAAUUUGAAGUUCAUAAGUAAACAGCUUUGCAAUAAGUAAUAAUUCUAGAAGUAGAUAUUACCAAACCUUAAGGUUACUGUAUGUCAUAUGAAUCAUAUUAAUCCAGUCAAUAAAGCAUUCUCUAAUUCCAGUAGCUAUUAAUUAAAUUAAUUUGUUCUAUUUUUCUUUGCUCUACCCAAACAUUACUUUUACUACUCUUGAAAAAAUUAUUUUUUAAAGUUUCUAAAAUUCUAAAAUAUGUUUGAAAUUUAAAGUUUAAGGUGGAUUUUUUUCCAUUUACAAGUAAAUGACAAGGGUAUGUACAAUUUGUUAGAGAUCUAUCUGAAGGUAUGUGUUGAACCUGAUUUCAAGUAUCUAUUGUAUUAGCUUAUCAGUUUAGGAAAAGAUUUCAGCAUGCCGAAUGUGUACAAACAGUGAGAUCGCUUCAAAUGGCUUUGGCCAAUGGGUGAAGAAUUUCUUUAGCAUUUGACAGUUCUGCUCUAGUGAUGAAGAGGCAGGAAGUCCUUGGAAUGAACUAUUGGAUUUCAUUUGUUUUGUAACACAGGUUUUUUAAAUUCACUCAUGGGCUCACCAACACGAUCUAGAUAAACAUCAAUAUAUUCAUUAAACUUUGAAUUUGAACAAAGUUACUGGAUCAUCAGGUAGAAGAACUCUAGAAAUAACAAUACAUUGCAAAUAAACUCUAGGUAAGUAAAAAUCCAAUGUUAGAAAAUGCCUUUCCUAUUGUUGAUGUUAUUUAUUUGUUUCCUUUACAGAUUGAAGGCAUUUGCAGUGUUGACCAGUUCUCCUCUGCUUAUAUAAACUGUGACAACAAAGCAUGUGGACUAGCUAAAACUUUCUCACUACCUAUCACUGUGGAUAGGAAAACCUGUCAUGCAGGCCUUUAAGCAAAUCCCUCAAAGACUUAAUCAUGCACAACAUCAGAGGUUCUUGUUGCAUGUGUGUCUAUACCAACCAGGGACUUAAAGGAAACAACAAUCCAUGAGAUAUGUAUCAUUUGCUACAAAUUAUGCAACCGUGCCAAAUGCUUGAAUACCUCUGAAGCACAUCGCGUUAUGCCAAGGACUCCCCACCUAUCUGAGCCCUGUAGAUCUCAAGAGUAAUUGAAUUUGUUGAUGCAGUUAUAGAGUACAGAAUUCUUCCAUUUAUGUGGCUAGCAACAGACUCACAGUUCUCUUAGUAUUGGAUGUACUUAAACUGCAGCCUUCUUGUCCUCACUUGGUUAUGGCCACACUGCCUCUUUUGCUGAGUAUGGCAAGAACUAAUUAAUUUAAGAAUUAAUGCAAGAGUAUGUCUUAUAAAGAUGUCCCUCUAUAUGUAAUACACAGCAUUUCUACCACAACAGAUGUUUUGUCAAAGGUUUCAAAAUGCAUAUGUAUCUCCAUUUUACACGCAGUCUUCAGAAAGACAUCUGCACACCUAUGUGGUUUCCAGGAUUAACUUGCUUUAGCGUUCCUACCUUCUGUAGGAACAACUGAGGGAUUAUCAUAAGCAUUAUGGUUUCUGGUCACUUCUGGAUCUUUAACCCAAAUAACGUAUUUCUGAGUUGGUUAUGGGUAGCCUUCACCACAAAUUAAAAGCAGCUCUGGUAUUUAUGUAUCCUGAUGGAUGGCAAAAUGUCCAUCCAUCUCUUAUUCUGUAAUACAUAUCGUCUCCAUACAAAGAUGAUCUUCCUCGAGUGGCUAGUGUCUAACAUCAUUAGCACCUAUAGCUUCGGAUAUGAAAACUAAAAUACUUCAGUGUGCAAUACCACAGUCUCACUUCCUGUAAAUGUAAAAUAACCCUCAUAUGAAAUCUGCCAAAUUGCUCUUGAUCACUGUUGUCCCUGUCUCCCAUUCUACCAUUUAGUGCAGAUUUAUACCUAUCCAAUGUGGCAACUCCUGCAUGGCCUAAUGAAUAGAACACAGCUUUAUUUUAAUGGCAAGUACAAGAUAGAAAAAAAAUGAUGGAAUGAUUUUCCUGGCUCAUUUUCAUUAUGCUUCAGCUUUGGACUGAACUUUAAAAGGUAAAUCACCCAACUCUUGACUACACAAGCAUUUAAAUAACUACAGAGAUUCUUAGCAUUUUUUACCUUUGGUGACUGUGGAUUCAUGUUGACUUUAAACUGACUUAAGGGUAUUAGAAAAGAAAUUUUCAGGCAAAGAUAAUACUCUGUUGUGGAAUGGAUAUUGAGCAAUUAGGGAAAGAAGAAUAUUUUAUCAUUCUUGUCACAGAGGCUAUUUCUUGGGCAAUGGCUACCUGCUCCUUUUUAUCUUUCCCACCCAUGCCAUAUUGCAGCAAAUGUGGCCGCAGGUGCCUACACUGGAUGAACACCUGCCCAAUCUGCGCAAGAAGGAAAGGAAAUCAAGGGAUGUCAUGCUCACUAGUUUUGUGUACUCAACUCAGGAGAGUGACAGAAAGGAGAAAUGAGAAGACAGUUAAAUUUAGCAUGAUUAAGAAGAGAGAGUAGAAGAAAAUGGCUGUGACCUUCAGAAGCAGCUUUUGCAGGAGAUGGAGAGCAGGUAAGUCUAAACACACUUUUUUCAAAGGCAGAACACCACUUUCUGUGUCUGUCAGCCUUUCUAUAACAAUGCAUCUACUACAGUGAGCUGACAGAAACCUUACAAAGUUCAACAGAGUCCUGCACCUAGGGAGAAACAAGCACAGGCACCAGGACAUGCUGGGGCCACCCAGCUGAAAAGCAGCUCUGCAGCAGAGGACAUGGGGACAGAGUGGUGGGGACACCACUCUGGACAUGAGUAAGCAGCGUGCCCUUGCUGCUAAGAAGGCCAAUGGUAUCCUGAGCUGCAUUAGGCAAAGAAUUGCCAACAGGUCAAGAGAGGUGAUCCUUCCCCUAUACACAGCCCCAGUAAGGCUGGAGCAAUGUGUCCAGCUCUGGGUCUCCAGUAUGGGAGAGACACGGAUGUAAUGGAAAGGGUCCAAAGAGGCAUAACCAAGAUGGUCUGGGACUGGAGCACCUCUCCAGUGAGGAGAAUCUCAUCAGUGUCUGUAAAUACCCAAACAGAAGAUGCAAAGAAGAUGGAGCCAGGCUCUUCUCAGUGCUGCUCAGUGUCAGUACAAGAGACAAACUGUAACACAGAGGCUCCCUCUGAACACCAGGAAGCAGUUCUGCACUGUCGGGUGAUGGAGCACCAUCAUGGGCUGCCCAAAGGCUGUGGGUUCUCCUCCUUGGGGAUCUCCAGAAGCCACCUGGUUGUGGGCCCAGGCAGCCUGUAAAUCUGUGUAGUGGCUUUUUACACCAGUUUGCAGGUAAAAUUUUGUCCUUUCUCAUUCCAUGUUGCAAAACAACAAAUAAAAUAUGUUUUGUGUGAAACUACAUAAGCUCAUUCUUUUACCCUCAGAGAUAGAUCCUUUAUAUAGUUCCAUAGAAUAUUUAUCCCUGCUUUCUUGCCUUAACUACCUUAUAAUUUCUGCAAUUAUUUUUGUAACAUUACUAUAUAAAAAGCUUUACAGAAUUCAAUAAAUUCCCUG
Long non-coding RNA from Gallus gallus (chicken), 5555 nucleotides. Lineage: Eukaryota; Metazoa; Chordata; Aves; Galliformes; Phasianidae. The record is from Ensembl.